AACGCACAUUGCGCCUAAUAGUAUUCUGUUAGGCAUGCCUGUUCGAGCGUCAUUUCAACCCCCAAGCCCUAUUUGCUUGACGUUGGGAACUUACGGAGACGUAAUUCCUCAAAUAUAGUGGCGGAGCUAGGUCGUGCUCUAAGCGUAGUAACUUACAUUCUCGCUUCUGAAGCCGGCCUGGGUCUUGCCGUAAAACCCCCUAUAUUUUACUGGUUGACCUCGGAUCAGGUAGGAAUACCCGCUGAACUUAA
Molecule: unclassified non-coding RNA, 251 nt
Filed under: uncultured fungus
Lineage: Eukaryota; Fungi
Description: partial contains 5.8S ribosomal RNA, internal transcribed spacer 2, and large subunit ribosomal RNA
Source: RNAcentral